GAGUUUGAUCCUGGCUCAGGGUGAACGCUGGCGGCGCGCUUAAUGCAUGCAAGUCGAACGUGCUUUCGGGCAAGUGGCACGACGGCUGAGUAACGCGUGAGUAACGCACCCUCCGGUGGGGUAUAGCCUCGGGAAACUGAGAGUAAUCCCGCAUACGAUCCGGUGGCCCCGGUUGCCGGAUGAAAGCCUUUGGCGCCGGAGGAGCGGCUCGCGUCCUAUCAGGUAGUUGGUGGGGUAAAAGCCUACCAAGCCUAUGACGGGUAGCUGGUCUUAGAGGACGAUCAGCCAGAGGGGGACUGAGACACGGCCCCCACUCCUACGGGAGGCAGCAGCAGGGAAUUUUGGGCAAUGGGCGAAAGCCUGACCCAGCGACGUCGCGUGGGGGAUGAAGGCCCUCGGGCUGUAAACCCCUUUUCCCGGGGAAGAGAAAGGACGGUACCUCGGGAAUAAGCCCCGGCUAACUACGUGCCAGCAGCCGCGGUAAUACGUAGGGGGCAAGCGUUACCCGGAAUCACUGGGCGUAAAGUGCGCGUAGGCGGUUGGAUAAGUCUCUUGUGAAAGCUCCCGGCUCAACUGGGAGAGGUCAAGGGAUACUAUUCGACUUGAGGACAGCAGAGGUAAGCAGAAUUCCCGGUGUAGCGGUGGAAUGCGUAGAUAUCGGGAGGAACACCAGUGGCGAAAGCGGCUUACUGGGCUGUAUCUGACGCUGAGGCGCGAGAGCGUGGGGAGCAAACUGGAUUAGAUACCCUGGUAGUC
Molecule: ribosomal RNA, 756 nt
Filed under: uncultured Chloroflexota bacterium
Lineage: Bacteria; Bacillati; Chloroflexota
Description: bacterial SSU rRNA
Rfam family: Bacterial small subunit ribosomal RNA
Source: RNAcentral